This 293-nucleotide long non-coding RNA is filed under the name Rosa chinensis. Its description in RNAcentral is "sRNA RchiOBHm_Chr3g0454821". Lineage: Eukaryota; Viridiplantae; Streptophyta; Magnoliopsida; Rosales; Rosaceae. The record is from RNAcentral.
GAGUUGCUUCAGCAUCCUUCAUCAAAACUCCUACUCCUUCACUUCCAAAUAUCAAUUCCCAAGCAGCAAAUUUGAUAAAAUGAUCAAGAGCCCAUUGGUUUUCUCAAGGAUUUCGCUCUAAAGGAGGCUGUUUGCAGAAUUGGAGCAAGAAAUUUUCACUUUCAGAGUUGAUUUGAUUUGAAGAGUUUAAGGUAUGAAUGCAACAAUGUAAUAUAGCUCUUUAUACGUAAGGCUUACGCCUUACGACUCAAGGCGAACGCCUUACUGAGGCUCUCUCGAAAACGCCUCGACUA